RNAcentral lists this long non-coding RNA (7551 nucleotides) under Homo sapiens (human). Its description in RNAcentral is "non-protein coding lnc-VWF-2:8". Lineage: Eukaryota; Metazoa; Chordata; Mammalia; Primates; Hominidae. The record is from RNAcentral.
GUGCACUCGACUGUUGUGGCCUUUCGUCUGCCUCCUUCACUUGAAUGGGAGCCUCCUGGGGCAGGGGCUGCUCCUUUUGCUGCUGUUGCAUCUCCAGGCCUGCAGCCAGGCCUGCCCCGCAGUGGGUGUCAACACGCUCUGUGGAACGAGGGACGGAAUGAGGGACGUGAGUGAUCUGUGUGGAUGGAGGAGUGACUUGCAAUGGAAGCCUGCCAGCCAAGACAGCUGGGCCCCUGGACAAAGUCUUGCUCAAUUCCUCAGGUUGCAGUAGAAUGGCAUGAACAGGACUCACUGCAGCCUCGACAUCCUGGGCUCAAGUGAUCCUCCUGCCUCAGCUUCCUGUGUAGCUGGUACCCCAGGCCGUGAGAUACUUCAGACAGACACAAUUUCUCCCAGCGACAGGGGAGGAAGCCGAGGCCUUGAGAAGGUGAGUGACUUACUCAAGGCCAUCCGGCUCAUUAGAGAAGGAGGCAGAACUCACACCCGUGUUUUAUGACUUCCAGUUCAGGCCCAUCACAGACCUCCAUCCAUCUGCAGGAAAGCAAGCGGCCCUCAGGGACUUGCUCAUGGAGAAUGCUCCAUAUAUGCCGAGGGGAUGGGCUCCGAGGAAGCCAGAUUGUCCCAGGGCAAUGCUGGCCUGGCCACUCUGGAUGGCCGUACUGGGGCCCAGCUGGCGGGGGCACUGGAGGCCCGUGUUACCCUGCACUCUGUUUGUGGGGUGGUAUGCCCAGCAUUCCUGGCAAAGGUUGCGAUGCCUCAGCAGGGUUGGGUGAGCAGCUGUCUGGGGCGGCGAGGGGAAGCGGACAGGCACGCCGUCUGUUUUGCUGGGCCGUGCGUGGCUUUUCCGGGCAUUGUGCUCACCAGCGUGCCCCGGUCAUGAACACUGAGACCAGGAUGUCUUUGUAGCGAUCACAGCAACACCCUGUACUUCCCCAACAUUCCAAGGAGGCCCCAGGCAUGGCACUUACAGGAGGUAUCCCAGACGCCGCCUUCCUCCUCCUCCUCCUCAACUCCAUCCUCCCCAGGAGGAGGCAGCCAUCUUCAUGGCGUGAUGUGUGGGACCUGGAGGGCAUCCGGCCAACAGAGCUCUCCCGUAAGGCAGUCCUCCUCCCACAGGUUCUUAUCUCUGAGCCAUGUGUUCUUAACCCCUAUAUUCUGACUUGGACACUGCACUAAGAGUUUUAAUUACGUUCUUGAUAGUUCUGUGACAUAAAUGCUAUUGUUAUCACCUGCCCCCCCUCCCCCCCCCCCCAUUAAUAUAAAGGAGACGGAAGCUUUGAGGGGUCUAUAUCAGCAGUAAGUGGCAGAGUCAGGACUCAAACCUCACGGGCCAGAGGCUGGCAUCUGUGCUUCUUUUUUUUUUUUUUUGAUAUGGAGUCUUGCUCUGUCACCCAGACUGGAGUGCAGUGGCGUGAUCUCGGCUCACUGCAAGCUCCGCCUCCCGGGUUCACGCCAUUCUCCUGCCUCAGCCUUCCGAGUAGCUGGGACUACAGGCGCCCGCCACCACGCCCGGCUAAUUUUUUGUAUUUUUAGUAGAGACGGGGUUUGCACCGUGUUAGCCAGGAUGGUCUCGAUCUCCUGACCUCGUGAUCCGCCCGCCUUGGCCUCCCAAAGUGCUGGGAUUACAGGUGUGAGCCACCACGCCUGGCCGUGUCUGUGCUUUUGACUUCGCUGCUGCACUGCCCUGUUAUGUAAACCUGGUGGGUUGUGCUUUGGAGAUGGGUAGGGAUGGAACACAGCCAUUCAUUCAAGAGUAUUUUCUAAAAUAAUAACUUUCUUACUUUAGAACAAUUUUAGAGUUAUAGAAUUAUAGUGCAGGGAAUUCCUGUAUACCCUGUGCCCAGUGUCCCUAUUAUUAUUAAUUUUUUAAAUGUUUUCCUUUUUUUUUGGAGAUGGUCUCGCUCUGUCACCCAGGCUAGAGUGCAAUGGCUUGAUCUCUGCUAACUGCAACUUCCUUCUCUUGGGUUCAAGCGAUUCUCCCACCUCAGCCUCCCAAGUAGCUGGGAUUACAGGCACCUGCCAUCAUGCCCAGCUAAUUUUCGUAUUUUUAGUAGAGACGGGGUUUCACCAUGUUGGCCAGGCUGGUCUUGAACUCCUGACCUCAGGUGAUCUGCCUGCCUCGGCCUCCCAAAGUGCUGGGAUUACAGGCGUGAGCCACUGCGCCCAGCUCUAUUUUUCUAUUUCUUUUUCAUCCCUUUUCACCAUUCCUAAUGUCCCCUGUCAUUAACAUCUUACAUUAGUGUGGUACAUAUGUCACUGUUAAUGAACUAAUAUUAUUAACUAAAGUGCACACUUUAUUCAGCUUUCUUUUUUUUUUAACCUAUUGCCCCCAUUCUGUCCCAGGAUCCCACCAGGAUUCUAUAUUACAUUUAGUCAUCAUGUCUCUGUAGGCUCCUCUUGGCUGUGACAGUUUCACAGACUUCCCUUGUUUUUGGUGAUCUGGACUAUUUUGAGAGGUGCUGGUCAGGAUUUUGCAGAAUGUCCUUUAACUGGGAUGUGUCUCAUGUUUUCCUCUUGAGUAGACUGGCGUUUGGGUUUUGGAGAGGGAGACCACAGAGGUAAGUGUCAUUCUCAUCCCAUGAUAUCAAGGGCACUAUCAACGUGACUUAUGGCUGUUGGUGUUCACCUUGGUCACCUGUUUCUUUAGUGUAAAGCUAUUCUUUUCUUUGCUCCCUUUCCAUGAUGUUCUGAAGAAUCAUUUUUUGAGCACCAAAAGAAGAAACUGGUGGCGGGGCGCAGUGGCUCACACCUGUAAUCCCAGCACUUUGGGAGGCCGAGGCGGGCGGAUCACCUGAGAUCAGGCAUUCGAGACCAACCUGGCCAACAUGGUGAAACCCCAUCUCUACUAAAAAUACAAAAAUUAGCCGGGCAUGGUGGUGCAUGCCUGAAAUCCCAGCUACUCAGGAGGUUGAGGAGGGAGAAUUGCUUGAACCUGGGGGGCGGAGGUUGCAGUCAGCCGAGAUUGCACCACUGCCCUCCAGCCUGGGUGACAGUGAGACUCCAUCUCAAAAAAAAAAAAAAAAAAAAAAAGAAGAAGAAGAAGAAGAAACUGGCAACUCUGGCAACUCUCCUAAGAGGGAGGAAGAGAGGAGAAAGGACAGGGCAGGGCGGUGACAAGUGUCCUGGAACGGAAAAAGAAAAAAGAAGAAAAAAAUUGCACCUGUGUAGGAGGAGAUGCUGGUGGCCCUUGGAGUGCCCAUGUGAGAGAAGAGCCAGUUCCAGGAUUCCAGUGAGAGCAGCCAGCUCAGCGUGGCUCAGCAGCGGGGGACAGCCGUCUAGGAAUCCCUGCGGAGCACCCCAGAGAAGGAGCUUCACCUCGGGACCUGGGUCUCAUUUUCAGGGACUUCAUCUCCCUGAAAAGCAAUGCUGCAUCAGACACAGAGACGCCCCGACAGAACGGAAAACAAUAUGCACUGUUCAACAUGAAACUCCCAUUCAUCUCACUGCUGCAUGACUUUGCCUAAGAGUUCAGGAUAAAGUAAUGUUUGCAAAUACAUCCUGAAAUUGCUUUUGUGGGUUAGCAUCAUUAGAUUGCAUUAUGCUUUGGGAUUAAAAGCGUUAACUUUGCCAUGUAGCUAUUUCAAAUAGAUCACAAGCUCUUUUUUUUUUUUUUUUGAUGAUCACCACUAUACUAACGAGGAUCAAAUAGACCACAAGUUCUGCAACCCUGUUUAGAUGUUUCUUCAUUUCAUAAAGUAUAGGUACCAAGAAUCUCAGUACCUCCUCCUCUCCCCCCAGACUUUCUCUUGUUAUUCUGGGAUCAAAGGGGCCUCAUGUCCCCUCUGAGGGACCUUACCCCUAUCAAGCAGGCUGGCAAGCGGGAGAACGGAGGCCUGAGAAGCUGCAACACAGCUACACUGAACUCCCCAGCCAAGCCAUGUGCUUGCAUCUGCCCGUCUACUCCAGAGUGUGAGCCAAACAUCUGAGACUGUGAGAAUUCGGAGAGCUGACCCCAGACGUUGGUUCCAGUGUUGGGAGGAACCUGGGAAAAUCAAGGGAUGCUUUGGUCCUGUCAUUGUGACUGACAAGCAAUUAGAGGUGAAUAUCUGUGAAUAUUUGGGGGUUUAGAAUGUACCUGUUGAAAUGAAAUGCCCCUGGGAUAUGAAAUAACUUUAGCUGUUGGCAUCUAAGACAACAGAGGCAGCUGGACGUGGUGACUCACGCCUGUAAUCCCAGCACUUUGGGAGGCCGAGGCGGGUGGAUCACCUGAGAUCACGAGUUUGAGACCAGCCUGACCAACAUGGUGAAACCCCAUCUCUACUAAAUACAAAAAAUUAGCCGGGCGUAGUGGCGCAUGCCUGUAAUUCCAGCUACUUGGGAGGCUGAGGCAGGAGAAUUGCUUGAAUCCGGGAGGCGGAGGUUACAGUGAGCCAAGAUUGCACCAUUGCACUCCAGCCUGGGCAACAAGAGUGAAACUCCAUCUCCCCCCCCACCCCGCAAAAAAAGACAACAGAGGCGUUCAAUCAGUCGGCCGCGGUGAGCAAUGUCCCGUGAGAAUGGGGCCCAAGACAGAAGUCUAGGAAAGGGUGUAUGUGGGCGAGGUAGACACAGAUAGGGGCUGUGGACGGAAGGACUCUAGGACCUGCUUGCAGUCUGUCAUGAGUCUUUGGACUAUUUAUAGCUGGUGACCUCAGAUGAGUCACCCCCAUGAUUCAGUUUCCCCAUUUCUCUGAGAUAUGGAGACAGCAGCUGGUCAGGAAGGGACCCUUUCCCUCCUCUCCGCCUCUCCACCGCCACCACUGCCGUCACCGGCACCCAUGUUCUGCCCACACAGUAGCCCAGGAUGCCAAGGGCUAAAGGCUUGACAUAGACGACACCUAAUGUAAUCUCACAGCCCUGGGACACAGCUCUUGUUAUUGCCUCCACUUUGCAGAAGGGAAAAGUGAGCCUUAUAGAGGCUGAAUAACAUGCCUGAUGUCUACACUGGGGAUGGGUGGAUGUGGGCUGGUGUUCGGGCCACCCUGACUCACACUUGGUUGGCCAGGGCUUCCACUGCUAAAUCCAUCUGGGUCAGGGGCUGGCAACAUUUUCUUCAUCAGGUAAAUAUUCUAGGCUUUGUGGGGCAUAUGAUCUCUCUUCCUCUCACCCCAGAUUUUCUCCUGUUACUCAACACUUUAAAAAUGUAAAAACCAUUCUUAGCUAGUGAGCUGCACAUAGGAGUCUGCUGGCUGGAUUUGGCCUGAAGGCCAGAGUUUAGUCACCUCUGAUAACAGGAAAGCAAAAAAUGCAAAUUGCUGUGGGCUGUCAUAUCUCCCCAGAUUUCAGAGGCGUUCUAAAACUCACUCAAAGAAUCCUGGGCCCUGGAGGGUGGCAGGGCUACCUGUGCGGCCCAGGUGGAUGUUAGUUUUACUGAGGACCUACUGGGGUGUGGGCACCACGGUGUCUCUCCCAUGGCCACUAUUCCUACGGGCAGUUACUGCCCCUCACACUUGUCCCUCUGUGUCCUACCCUCUGUGGGGGCUCACUGGGGGCCCAGCUUCUCCACCCUGUCACCAUCCUGGCCUCACUUUCCUUUCUCCUGGGACUUCGGUUCUUGGUCAAGUGAGGCUGGACAGGCCCAGCUGUGGCCCCUGGCUGAGCUGCAGAGGAAGCUGAGAGGACCUGCUAUCAGCUCCUUUUGGCCAGGCUGCCUCAGUGGCCAGCGUGGGGUGGGAGAUGCUGAGGCAGAAAUGGGGGAGAAGAGGUGGGAGCUCUGCAGCCGGAGGGAGGAGUUCCGUGGCCUGGGCAGGAAGCUGGGAAACCUCUGUUUCUUUCUUUCUUUGUUUUGUUUUUUUUUUUGAGACGGAGUCUCGCUCUAUUGCCCAGGCUGGAGUGCAGUGGCACGAUCUCAGCUCACUUCAAGCUCCGCCUCCCGAGUUCAUGCCAUUCUCCUGCCUCAGCCUCCCAAGUAGCUGGGACUACAGGCACCCGCCACCACGCCUGGCCAAUUUUUUGUAUUUUUUAGUAGAGACAGGGUUUCACUGUGUUAGCUGGGAUGGUCUUGAUUUCCUGACCUCGUGAUCCACCUGCCUCGGCCUCCCAAAGUGCUGGGAUUACAGGCGUGAGCCACCACGCUCGGCCACCUCUCUGUUUCUAAGGCUCCUCAGAGUUAAGGAGGUUUGUGAAAGGAGUAAACACAGGAAUUCUGCUUGUGUGUGGGGCCUGCCUGUGCGUGUGUAUCACAUACAACCCAUGCCUGUGUUCCUGUGGAGAGGGAGCAUGGAAGGGGCCCGUGUUCUAGGCAAUGCACAAAAUAGUUAAACCAGGUCUGAAACUGGGAUCAAGUCCCAACACCACCACUGACCAACCAUGGGAACCAGGUCCAGGUCUUUAACCUCUUGGACACUCACUUUCCUCAUCUGUAAAAUGGAAAUAGCAAUAUCUCAGCAGAUUGCUGUAAAGCUUACAAAGUAACACGAUUUAUCGAAUGCUUCCUACUGGGCAGGCACUAUUCUAGGGGCUUUCUAUAUUCAGUUGAUCCUCAUCACUCAUACAUUCUGUAUUUAAAGAUUUGUCUACUCUGGCCGGGUGUGGUGGCUCAUGCCUGUAAUCCCAGAACUUUGGGAGGCCGAGGUGGGUGGAUCACGAGGUCAGGAGAUCAAGACUACCCUGGCUAACAUGGUGAAACCCCGUCUCUACUAAAAAUACAAAAAAAAUUAGCCGGGCGUGUUGGCGGGCGCCUGUAGUCCCAGCUACUCGGGAGGCUGAGGCAGGAGAAUGGUGUGAACAUGGGAGGUGGAGCUUGCAGUGAGCCGAGAUAGCACCGCUGCACUCCAGCCUGGGCAACUGAGCAAGACUCCAUCUCAAAAAAAUAAAAAUAAAAAAAUAAAAAUUUGUCUACUCCAUACAAUUUACUUGUAUUGCCAAAAUCAAUACUCACAGUGCUUGCAUGGCCAUCCAUGAACACAGAGCAGAGAAAAAUUUGGCAGGAUGUGCACAUUCCCAGCAGAGGGUGAACAAGGUGACAGUCUGCCUUCUUGUUUCAGCUCAUACCACAAGCAAGUGUCCUUUUCAAGGUCUACUUGGUACCAUGUGUUUUGCAUUUUUCUGCUGCGUGUUGGUGAUUCCACUGUUUAAAAUGGUCCCAGCAUCAUGCUGAAGUGCUGUCCAGAGUUCCUAAGUGAGAGAAAGCUGUGAUGUGUCAUGUGGAGAAAAUAUGUCUAGUAGUUAAGCUUCGUGCAGGCAUGAGUUAUAGUGCUGUUGGCUAUGAGUUCAAUGUGAAUUAUUCAGCAAUAUAUAUUGAAUAAGGUGUCGUUAGACAGAAACACACAUAAGAAAAAGUUAUGCAUUGAUUUGUUGAUGAAAAUGUGACCAGAGGCUCACAGGAACCUCCCCUUGUAUCUCCCCUAGGAGCACUGGUUUGGCAUUCACUAAUUCAGUGUUUGCAGUGACUCCAUAAAACACAGCCACUAUGAAUAAUGAGAAUUGACUGUAUUGGCCAGGCACAGUAGCUCACACCUGUAAUCCCAGCACUUUGGGAGGCCAAGGUAAGCAGAUCACUUGAGGUCAGGAGUUUCAGACCAGCCUGGCCAACAUGGUGAAACCCUGUCUCUACUAAAAAUACAAAAAAUU